AACGAACGCUGGCGGCAUGCCUAACACAUGCAAGUCGAACGAGACCUUCGGGUCUAGUGGCGCACGGGUGCGUAACGCGUGGGAACCUGCCCUUAGGUUCGGAAUAACUCCCCGAAAGGGGUGCUAAUACCGGAUAAUGUCUUCGGACCAAAGAUUUAUCGCCUUUGGAUGGGCCCGCGUUGGAUUAGCUAGUUGGUAGGGUAAAAGCCUACCAAGGCGAAGAUCCAUAGCUGGUCUGAGAGGAUGAUCAGCCACACUGGGACUGAGACCAGGCCCAGACUCCUACGGGAGGCAGCAGUGGGGAAUAUUGGACAAUGGGCGAAAGCCUGAGCCAGCAAUGCCGCGUGAGUGAUGAAGGCCUUAGGGUUGUAAAGCUCUUUUACCCGGGAUGAUAAUGACAGUACCGGGAGAAUAAGCUCCGGCAAACUCCGU
RNAcentral lists this ribosomal RNA (432 nucleotides) under uncultured bacterium. RNAcentral's name for it is "partial 16S ribosomal RNA". It matches the Rfam family "Bacterial small subunit ribosomal RNA", at positions 29 to 506 of the family's 1533-position model. The record is from RNAcentral.